AGAGUUUGAUCCUGGCUCAGGAUGAACGCUGGCGGCGUGCCUAAUACAUGCAAGUCGAGCGAACAGAUAAGGAGCUUGCUCCUUUGAAGUUAGCGGCGGACGGGUGAGUAACACGUGGGUAACCUACCUAUAAGACUGGGAUAACUUCGGGAAACCGGAGCUAAUACCGGAUAACAUUUAGAACCGCAUGGUUCUAAAGUGAAAGAUGGUUUUGCUAUCACUUAUAGAUGGACCCGCGCCGUAUUAGCUAGUUGGUAAGGUAACGGCUUACCAAGGCGACGAUACGUAGCCGACCUGAGAGGGUGAUCGGCCACACUGGAACUGAGACACGGUCCAGACUCCUACGGGAGGCAGCAGUAGGGAAUCUUCCGCAAUGGGCGAAAGCCUGACGGAGCAACGCCGCGUGAGUGAUGAAGGGUUUCGGCUCGUAAAACUCUGUUAUUAGGGAAGAACAAAUGUGUAAGUAACUGUGCACAUCUUGACGGUACCUAAUCAGGAAGCCACGGCUAACUACGUG
RNAcentral lists this ribosomal RNA (517 nucleotides) under uncultured Staphylococcus sp. Its description in RNAcentral is "bacterial SSU rRNA". It matches the Rfam family "Bacterial small subunit ribosomal RNA", at positions 8 to 507 of the family's 1533-position model. The record is from RNAcentral. Lineage: Bacteria; Bacillati; Bacillota; Bacilli; Caryophanales; Staphylococcaceae.